This 501-nucleotide ribosomal RNA is filed under the name uncultured bacterium. Its description in RNAcentral is "partial 16S ribosomal RNA". It matches the Rfam family "Bacterial small subunit ribosomal RNA", at positions 30 to 523 of the family's 1533-position model. The record is from RNAcentral.
AUUGAACGCUGGCGGCAGGCUUAACACAUGCAAGUCGAGCGGGGGAAGGUAGCUUGCUACUGGACCUAGCGGCGGACGGGUGAGUAAUGCUUAGGAAUCUGCCUAUUAGUGGGGGACAACAUCUCGAAAGGGAUGCUAAUACCGCAUACGUCCUACGGGAGAAAGCAGGGGAUCUUCGGACCUUGCGCUAAUAGAUGAGCCUAAGUCGGAUUAGCUAGUUGGUGGGGUAAAGGCCUACCAAGGCGACGAUCUGUAGCGGGUCUGAGAGGAUGAUCCGCCACACUGGGACUGCGACCCGGCCCAGACUCCUACGGGAGGCAGCAGUGGGGAAUAUUGGACAAUGGGGGGAACCCUGAUCCAGCCAUGCCGCGUGUGUGAAGAAGGCCUUAUGGUUGUAAAGCACUUUAAGCGAGGAGGAGGCUACUCUAGUUAAUACCUAGGGAUAGUGGACGUUACUCGCAGAAUAAGCACCGGCUAACUCUGUGCCAGCAGCCGCCGUAA